This 812-nucleotide long non-coding RNA is filed under the name Macaca nemestrina (pig-tailed macaque). Its description in RNAcentral is "lncRNA (ENSMNEG00000046133.1)". The record is from RNAcentral. Lineage: Eukaryota; Metazoa; Chordata; Mammalia; Primates; Cercopithecidae.
GAAACAUUUUCUGGCUUGGGUAGUAUCUGAAUGGGGAAUUCUCUGUUCCUGCUGCCUUACUUCUUCCCACAGAUGAAUGCGUAAGAAAGCUAUGAACAUGGAACAAGAAUCAUGGAGAGAAGCAAUAUGCAAUUUUGUGAAUUAUGAAUAUAAGUUCAUAAAGAGAACUGGGAUUGGGACCCUGUGGGAAGCCCUGAAGAAGAAAGACCAGGAAAAUUGGUAAGAGGUGGGAAUAAUGUAUUUAUGAUAUGUUACCCCCUGGCCAAUAGAUUUUAGGCAUAGAGAAGAACUUUAGGGGAGCUGAAGGACAAAGCCCCUUUGAAGAGCUUCUUGUUUGUGCAGAUGAUCACUUCCUCCCAUCAAUACUCUUUGCUGACAAAAACUUUGGCUUAGGUGAUGUUGCUCCAAUUUUACCAGGAAUACUUUCCUCUCCCUCCUUUUAUCUUCUCUUUCCUUCCAUAUUUUUCUAUCAAAAAUGGAAAUAGCUAUAAUAUAUAAUACAUAUCUAAUUAUGAAUGUAACAUAUACUCAGAAAUUACUAAAAAGAAAACAAUUUUAAAAUUAAAGAAGAAAAUAAAACAAUCUGUAAAAUGAACUUCAAGAAAUAACCAUCAAUCAAAUUACAUGGCAUGUCAGAUUUUUUUUAUAUGUAUAUAAAUAUGCAAGGGUAGAAUCUAAUACUAUUUUACCUACCUCUAUUUUAACUCGUCAGCAUUACUUCUAAACCUCCAAAAAAAUCAUGACAUGCUGCAGCCCCUAUUUAAACCAAUUCCCUAUUCCCAAACAUUCAAGUUUUUAUAAUAAACAUCUCC